Molecule: ribosomal RNA, 339 nt
Filed under: Triticum aestivum (bread wheat)
Lineage: Eukaryota; Viridiplantae; Streptophyta; Magnoliopsida; Poales; Poaceae
Description: partial small subunit ribosomal RNA
Source: RNAcentral
AUGUGCACGGCGUUUGUGCUGCAGGCAGUGCUGCACCUGAUCACUGUGCUGGGGACCGACGAUGCCGACGGGGCCACACUGGCACACCCUCGUCAUCAAGAUUGUCAUCACCUUCAACAUGAUGUUCGUCACUUGAACCGUCGCCACAGACUCGAUGUUGGUACGUUCACCAAUCUGCCAGAGAUCCCCUGUUUUUAUUUCUUAAUUUUUACUAUCCUCUUGGUGGGCAUCCUCUUCUUCUCCAUGGUGCUCAAGCAACUGCAUAAGGAGGUUGGGUAUCUCGGAUUGGAUGUGAUGGAGGGCGCUGCGCAAGAGAGGUCAUGUUUGGACGACAUUUAA